GCUGAACCGAGCCUGUUUUGCGGCUGGGGGGCAAAUGUGUUCCUUUAAAGAGCUCCACUUUUGCUAUUUGUUUCAGUUCUAUAGUUGUGGCCAGAAGCAGUCGCUGAGGAAGGGUUAUGUGGUCAGAAGCAGUUGCUGGCUGAAUGUAGACACAGAAACUCAGGGUCCAGUUACCAUAAGAGAAGCAUCUCUGCACGCAACGGUGUGGUUCCUGCAGCCCCUCGUCUCCUCUGGCUCUCCGGCUGCCUAAGAAUGUCGGACCAGGGGAUGAGGCUGUUCGCUGUGUUCCUUGGCUUUCCUGUUCUGCUCUUGGCCUACCGGUGUCAGAGUCCAAACCAGGACCAUCAAAUGGUCACCAGCUCUAAAAGCAACUCUGUCUCCCUCUUCCUACCUUCUCAGCCCUCCUCUGAUGUCUUCCACAUGGUGUGGAAAAAGGACAACAAAGUGAUGGCUAAGGCAAAAAAUAUCUCAAAUGUCUUGACUUUCAGAAACAAAACCAUCUUGUUUCCAAAUGGGACUCUGCUGCUGUACAGCCUGCUCAAGGAAGAUAGAGGUCUUUUCCAGCUGGAGAUCUUCAGUGACAGUGGAACAUGUCUGUUCUGGGGCAGCAUUAUGCUGGAUGUCCAGGACCCAGUGUCCAAGCCGGUCUUAUCACAGAUUUCUUGGCAGAAUGAAACAGUAAACCUAAAGUGUGAAGUGCAGCGAGGUGACAAUGUGUCCAUCCAGUGGCUGGAACGCCCAUGUGGCACCAACAGCAGCUGGGUUCGCACCAUGAGAGGCUUCACCUUGUCUGUUGAGAGGGGCACCUCCAGAGAGUUCAUCUGCACGGCUAUGAACAACAUCAGCCAAGAGACCAGCAAUGCUCUGACUGUUGACUGCCAUGAUGGAGCUGCACCUGAAAUAGUUUCAAACUCUGGUGACGAACCCAUGAGGAGAGGGGUCAUGGAAACGAAAGUGGGAAGCUUUGCUGUGAGAGACCAGCAAGUCUUACAGAUGCUGAAAGAGGAGGUGUAUGUCGAUAUGAGCUUAGAGACCAUUGCCAGGACGGUACCAGAGAUGAGUAGCUUUGGACCAAUGGAGGCACCCUGGAAUGCACAGGAAGCAGAGACAGAUGCUAUCUAUGUCCCAAUGAAUACUGCCAAUAGCAAGGAAGAAACUGUUCCUGCUUCUGAAAUAAGUCAACCUGCAACUCAGCCCUCUGGUGAGGAACAAGUCUCUGAUGUAAGUUCCGGGAAUGACCGCAGACAGGUGGUUUAUGCCGAAGUCAACUUCUCAUCCAAGGAGCAGUCAAAAUGCAGUUCCUCACCCACCGUAGGACAAUCACAGUGAUGGCAAAGUACUGGCAGUCUGUUGCGAGUCCUCAGUCUGAGUCUCUGCAUUGUGUCUGAAAAACAGGUCUUAAUAUUACAGUCUUUUUGUCUAGAUGUGAGUCCUAUAGCUCUGACCCUUAGCUGGUGUUUAGCAAAAAUUGGCAAGUGAGACUGCUCCCAUGACUGAUGACUGGGCUUUUCUCAAAUUUCUCAGAGUUUCUCAAAUAACCGCUUUGCAGAAUCAUGGAGCAAACAGCGAUCAUUCUGUCAAAACAAUGCUGGUUGGUCCAUUCAUGUAUAUGUUUUUCCAGGAUUUAGAAACUGCUGUGUUCACCUUUAUUUUCAGUGUCCUUUUACAGUAACUACUAAUAAUUAUUAAUGAAAAGAAAACAUGCAUUGGUUCCACAGAGUGUUUGACACAAUUACUAUUUUCUACUCUUGGUUUAUUUGUCUAAGCCAUACUGGACACUGGACUCAACAGCUGUUAUAAAUAAUAUUUAAUUGUAAAAUAACAUAUAAACACACAAAGAUUUGUCAAAAAUUUGUUUGGAGUUAUUGCUUCAUGUUCUGGCAUUUGAACAUAAAACAUUUUAAUAACAUUAAAUCAUGAUUCGUUUUAACAGUCUGCACAAAAAACCAAAAAUUGUAAGAUGAGACACUUUUGCAAACACCUCUGAGCUCUUAGUCCUGCUGUGUCUGACUGUCUCUUGCACUCAUGUCCUUUACAUAAACAGGAGUUCCAC
Molecule: long non-coding RNA, 2053 nt
Filed under: Scleropages formosus (Asian bonytongue)
Lineage: Eukaryota; Metazoa; Chordata; Actinopteri; Osteoglossiformes; Osteoglossidae
Description: lncRNA (ENSSFOG00015033324.1)
Source: RNAcentral